GACGAACGCUGGCGGCGUGCCUAAUACAUGCAAGUCGAGCGGACGAAUCGAAAGCUUGCUUUUGAUUCGUUAGCGGCGGACGGGUGAGUAACACGUGGGCAACCUGCCCUGUAGACGGGGAUAACACCGAGAAAUCGGUGCUAAUACCGGAUAACACGAAAUGUCGCAUGACGUUUCGUUGAAAGACGGCGCAAGCUGCCGCUACGGGAUGGGCCCGCGGCGCAUUAGCUAGUUGGUGAGGUAACGGCUCACCAAGGCGACGAUACGUAGCCGACCUGAGAGGGUGAUCGGCCACACUGGGACUGAGACACGGCCCAGACUCCUACGGGAGGCAGCAGUAGGGAAUCUUCCGCAAUGGACGAAAGUCUGACGGAGCAACGCCGCGUGAGCGAAGAAGGCCUUCGGGUCGUAAAGCUCUGUUGUUAGGGAAGAACAAGUAACGCAGUAACUGGCGUUACCGUGACGGUACCUAACGAGAAAGCCACGGCUAACUACGUG
This 498-nucleotide ribosomal RNA is filed under the name uncultured bacterium. RNAcentral's name for it is "partial 16S ribosomal RNA". It matches the Rfam family "Bacterial small subunit ribosomal RNA", at positions 28 to 507 of the family's 1533-position model. The record is from RNAcentral.